Molecule: ribosomal RNA, 390 nt
Filed under: uncultured bacterium
Lineage: Bacteria
Description: bacterial SSU rRNA
Rfam family: Bacterial small subunit ribosomal RNA
Source: RNAcentral
AUUGAACGCUGGCGGCAUGCUUUACACAUGCAAGUCGAACGGGUGAGGGGGCAACUCCUCAUCUAGUGGCGAACGGGUGAGUAAUGCAUCGGAACGUGUCCCGUAGUGGGGGAUAACCCGGCGAAAGCCGGACUAAUACCGCAUAUGCUCUACGGAGGAAAGUGGGGGACCAGCAAUGGCCUCACGCUAUGGGAGCGGCCGAUGUCCGAUUAGCUUGUUGGUGAGGUAAUGGCUCACCAAGGCGACGAUCGGUAGCUGGUCUGAGAGGACGAUCAGCCACACUGGGACUGAGACACGGCCCAGACUCCUACGGGAGGCAGCAGUGGGAAUUUUGGACAAUGGGGGCAACCCUGAUCCAGCCAUGCCGCGUGCGGGAAGAAGGCCCUAGGG